This 1335-nucleotide long non-coding RNA is filed under the name Sus scrofa (pig). RNAcentral describes it as "lncRNA (ENSSSCG00025068214.1)". Lineage: Eukaryota; Metazoa; Chordata; Mammalia; Artiodactyla; Suidae. The record is from RNAcentral.
GGUAUAUUUCUCAGAUGAGGUCUCUCUUCUGUUUUUGCUUUUCUGUCACAGGAUUUGAAUUUCUGAUCUCUCUGUGUAUGUUUGUCCAAGAAGCGAGGGGUCUUCCAUUUGGGGUUAUAUGUCCCCAUUUGUUCGAUCCCUGGCCUCACUCAGUGGGUGAAGUAUCUGGCAUUGCUGUGAGCUGUGGUGUAGGCCACAGACAUGGCUCGGAUUUGGGGUGCCUGUGGCUGUGGUGUAGGCCGGCACCUAUAGCGCUGAUUCGACCCCUAGCCCAGGAACCUCUACAUACCGCAGGUGCAGCCCUAAAAAGAGAAAAAGAAAAAAGAAUGUAUACAUAUGGGUAGGACUCAGUCACUUUGCUGUACAACAGAAAUUGACAUAACAUUGUAAAUCAAAACUAUACUUUAAAAAAAGAGGUCCUUUGUAGAUGCGAUUGGAGUUCCCUGGUGGCUCAGUAGGUUAAGGAUCUGGUUUAUCACUGCUAUGGCUUGGGUUGCUGCUGUGGCGCAGGUUCAGCCCAUGGCCCUGGAAGUUCCAUACGCUGCAGGUGUGGCCAAAAGAAAAACGUCCUUUGUAGUUGUGAUUAAGCAAAUCACCUUGAGAUGGAGGAGAUUAUCCUGAAUUUUUCAGGUGAGCAGAGUGUAAUGACAAAAGUCCUUGCAGAAGGCAGGAUAGUCAAAGAAGCAGAUGUGAUGACCAAAAUAGAGAUCAGAAAGAGAUGUGAGGAGUUCCCGUUGUGGCGCAGUGGUUAACGAAUCCGACUAGGAACCAUGAGGUUGCGGGUUCGGUCCCUGCCCUUGCUCAGUGGGUUAACGAUCUGGCGUUGCCGUGAACUGUGGUGUAGGUUGCAGACACGGCUCGGAUCCUGAGUUGCUGUGGCUCUGGCGUAGGCCGGUGGCUACAGCUCCGAUUCAACCCCUAGCCUGGGAACCUCCAUAUGCCGCGGGAGCGGCCCAAGAAAUAGCAACAACAACAACAACAAAACAACAACAACAACAACAAAAAAAAAAAAGAGAUGUGAGAGCGAAACACUGCCAGUUUUGAAGAUGGAGGAAGGGGCCAGGAGCUAAGGAUUGCAGGCAGCUUUAGAAACUGGAAAAGACAGAGUUCCCAUCAUGGCUCAGGGGUUAACGAAUCUGACUAGGAACCAUUGAGGUUGUGGGUUCGAUCCCUGACCUCGCUCAGUGGGUGAAGGAUCCAGCGUUGCCGUGAGCUGUGGUGUAGGUCGCAGACACAGCUUGGAUCUGGCGUUGCUGUGGCUGUGGUGUAGGCUGGUGGCUGCAUCUCCGAUUAGACCCCUAGACUGGGAACCUCCAUGUGCUCCAGGAAAGACAG